CUACGAGCUGCUAGCUUUCAACACAACGCUCAAUACUAUUGACUAUUAUUGUUUGAAGAUGAAGGCCGACGCUUGCAUUUGGGCUGUCACACAUGACGUAUAUGACGUUUUAACAAUGCCAUGCCCUUCCAUACAUUUCAGUGAUGGGAGGAGGUGGAGGAGGACUAGAGGGAGGACGCACUCGAGCCAACACUCUGCAGCAUCAUGGCACCUAUCGGAUUAAAGGCGGUGGUCGGAGAGAAAAUUAUGAAUGAUGUCAUCAAGAAGGUGAAAAAGAAGGGAGAAUGGAAGGCCUUAAUUGUGGACCAGCUCAGCAUGAGGAUGUUGUCUUCUUGCUGCAAGAUGACAGACAUCAUGACAGAGGGUAUCACCAUUGUGGAAGACAUCAACAAACGACGAGAGCCUCUUCCCAGCCUUGAGGCCAUCUUUCUGAUUACACCUACAGAGAAGUCGGUCCAUACCCUCAUUGCAGAUUUCAAGGACCCCCAUUCAGCAAAGUACAAAGCAGCUCAUGUUUUCUUCACUGACUCAUGUCCCGAUCCCCUUUUCAAUGAGCUGGUGAAAAGCCGUGCUUCCAAAACCAUCAAGACGCUGACAGAGAUCAACAUCGCCUUCUUGCCCUAUGAGUCUCAGGUGUACUCUCUGGACAACGCUGAUGCCUUCCACAGUUUCUACAGCCCUCAUAAGACCCAGCUGAAGAACCCUGUGAUGGAGAGGCUAGCUGAGCAACUGGCCACAUUGUGUGCUACACUGAAAGAGUACCCUGCGGUCAGAUAUAGAGGGGACUACAAAGACAAUGCAACCCUGGCUCAGCUGGUUCAGGAUAAACUGGACGCCUACAAGGCUGAUGACCCCACCAUGGGAGAGGGUCCAGAUAAAGCUCGCUCACAGUUGAUUAUACUGGACAGGGCUUUUGACCCCGUCUCACCUGUCCUGCAUGAGCUCACCUUCCAGGCUAUGGGCUAUGACUUGCUUCCCAUUGAAAACGACGUUUACAAGUAUGACACCAGUGGUAUCGGAGAUUCUCGUGAGAAAGAGGUUCUGUUGCAUGAAGACGAUGACUUGUGGGUGAGCCUGAGACACAAACACAUUGCAGAGGUGUCCCAGGAAGUGACUCGUCAACUGAAGGAGUUUUCCUCAAGCAAGAGAAUGAACACCGGAGAAAAGACCACAAUGAGGGAUCUGUCCCAGAUGUUGAAGAAGAUGCCUCAGUAUCAGAAAGAGCUCAGCAAGUACUCCACUCACCUGCAACUUGCUGAAGACUGCAUGAAGCAUUACCAGGGAACGGUGGACAAACUGUGCCGUGUGGAACAGGACCUUGCAAUGGGCACAGACGCUGAGGGGGAGAAGAUCAAAGAUCCCAUGAGGGCUAUCGUGCCCAUUCUGCUGGAUGCCAACGUCAGCACAUAUGACAAAAUCCGGAUCAUCCUGUUGUACAUCUUCCUCAAAAAUGGCAUAACGGAGGAGAACCUAAAUAAGCUGAUCCAGCAUGCUCAGAUUCCCCCUGAAGAUAGUGAAAUCAUCACCAACAUGGCUCAUCUGGGAGUCCCCAUUGUCACAGACUCAACCCUCCGCCGAGGCAAAAAACUGGACAGGAAAGAGCGAGUGAGCGAGCAGACCUAUCAACUGUCCCGCUGGACACCACUUGUCAAGGAUAUCAUGGAGGAUGCCAUUGAUGAUAAGCUUGACACCAAGCACUACCCCUACAUCUCCACCCGAUCCUCUGCUUCUUUCAGCACCACUGCUGUCAGUGCUCGGUAUGGACACUGGCACAAGAACAAGACACCCGGAGAAUACCGUACCGGCCCACGCGUCAUGGUCUUCAUCAUUGGGGGAGUGUCCUUCAGCGAGAUGCGCUGCGCCUAUGAGGUCACACAGGCCAACGGGAAGUGGGAAGCCAUCAUUGGUUCCACCCACAUGCUCACCCCAACCAAAUUCUUAUCGGACCUGCAGCACCCCGACUUCCGAGAGUCCACUAGGGUGUCGUUUGAGGAUGCAGACGCCUCAGACGAGUGAGGCAGAGACAGAUUGGGAGGGAGGGAGAGAGAAAUCACACAGAAAAAGACAUGGUUGAAGUUCAUUGAAGGAGUCCCUUGAUGUUGUGUUGUACUAUCAUCGCAUGCUCACAUGGCCCACGGCUCGUCAGCAGAAGGAUCAACCAACAUCUUUACCCCCACCAGCCUGCUCGAGCAGCUCAAGGCCAUGAAUAAACCAGAUGAGGAAGUGACAAGUUAAAAAACCCCAGUCAUCUAAUCUCUCUCCUCCUUAAUUUCCUCUUUACCUUUACCAUUCCUUUAUCGGGUAUGCAUCUUGCUUGAGAAUAAAAAAAAAAUAUUAUUAUAAAAAGAGACAUCUAAGAUGACAAAAAAAUAUGUUGAAACAAGAAUAAAAACUAUUCUCGUCUUUUACAAUGGAUGCAAUGAAAGAAUCUGAUUUAAAUAUCCAAACAGGUGGCCAUUUAAAAAUGAACAUACCAAAAUGUCGAAGUGUAGUGUAUGCUAUCCAACCCCGUAGACUAUGUCAAAUCUAGAGCUGUCCUCGUUGAUCGCCCUGGGUCACCUGCUUAGUGUCAGUGUCAUGAAACUGGGCGGAGGAGGGAUGUGCUGUUCGUAGUUGUAAAAUAUCGCAUCUCAAUCAACAUGCAAUAUAUAUAAAUAUAUAUAAAUAUAUAUUCAACUGAAGAGAUGGCCCAUUUAAGAUGUUUGUAUCAAGUAGCAUGCUCGGACUUGUCUGGACUGUUAAAUGUGUUUGUAUCCCGUGUGGAUGUUUUUGGGAGCUAGCUUCCCCCCCCAUGAUUUUGUGUUUGGAUACUCUACUGAAAGAUCUUGCCGCUUUCAAAACCACAACCGAAGCAACUCAGCCUACUGGUUCAGACUAUGCAAGUUCACCGUGCAAAUACACGCGUGGUCACGUUGUGUUCGGUUAUGUUGCAAAGCUGCUGGCUCCACAGUGCUCACAAAAGAGGAAUUUUCGUGAGAAUUUUAACUACUGAAUACUAAACAAGUCCAGGUUGACAAAUCAAACAUCAAGCGAUACCAUUGUACCAGGCACACGCACAGAUAUUUUGGGGGCAAGUGCUCAAGCAAAAGUAAAAAGUGCACCCGUCGUCAAAACUAUUCAUACAAUGAAUCAAUUGUAAAACAUGCAAUGAAUGAUGUAAAAAAAUGGCAUACAUGAAAAAAUGACAGUUCAAUUAAGUGAUAACGAUGGCAACCCACCCACCAGAUUUUGUUUCCGUAAAAGCUACACAUUUAUUUGAUAGUUAUGCAUUAAAUGUAUGUAUUUAUUUAUGUUAACACAGUCAACACUGUCAAUAACACUGUAGAACUACGAACAAAGAAAGUGACAGGAGGCUACAGUGGUUAUGAUAUGGAAACCCACCCCUGUACAAAUGGCAACUUGGGAAGUUUUCAGAAGGUACAAUUCUCCCAAGGAGUCAAAUAAAUGCCCAACAAAACCCUUAACAAAAAAAUGUGCUUCAGCAAAAUGACCACUUUGUUUGUCUAGGGCAAAAGGCCAGAUGCUUGAGCACCAUCUUGGCAAUAAGUGUGCACACGCCUGGACAUGACUGGAGUUGCAGGUGAAGUAUAAAGUAUAAUAAAGUUUUUGAGGGGUGUCUGUGGAUGUUGUGACAAAGCCACAACACUGGAGGAUUUUGAAUAGAAUCAUCCCUCCUCCGACUGUGAAGACUAUGAAGUAUUCAAUUGACACCCUUCUCUUACCCUCCCGUCAUUGUCACAUUUUCAUGUUGAAAAUUGCUUGCUUCUUCUAUUGUCAUGAAUAUUAGUCAAGAAAGCCUCUUGUAUUUCAGUAUUGUAUCCUUUAAUCUUCUUGCUCAGCACUGUUGUUUCACUGCAUCAUGCACUCGGUAGUAUUGUGUAUUUGCCAUAUGUUGCUGUUUAAUGUCUCAGUGUUGAUUGGUGAUAUUACGAACUGUGAAGUAAUGCUAACUUUCCUUUCUUGAUGCCAAUAGGACGCCACACUGUAUUUGUGAUGUUUUAGCUGUAGAUGUUAGCUGGGGGGGAAAAAGAAAAAUCUAUAUUUUAUUUGCCUGAAUUUCUGCUGUUGCAACGUAAAUCCUCUUCAGUGGUGAAUGGCUUUGCAAAAAGUAAAAUAAUAAAAAACAAUAAUCAUCAUUUUCUCCAUCUUUCCUCUUUUCCCGUCCAAACAAGUUCACUAUUGCAGUAUAACAAGGUUUUUGUGCUGCAAAUGGUUUUUUUCCCCAGAUUUAUUUGCCGUUCUAUAUGAUGAACUGUCAAAUUGCUUGACUUAUUUCAGAACUAUUUAUCUGAGAACGAUAUCACAUUGCUCUGUCCUUAAACUGUUUAAGUUAUUGGGAAUAUAUGUUUGCAAGUGUUGAAGCACAAACAAUACUUCCAUGUGGAACUUAUAUGUACUAAGGCUGUCGAAUAA
RNA transcript from Syngnathoides biaculeatus (alligator pipefish), 4413 nucleotides. It is a transcript of the gene named syntaxin-binding protein 1, with no coding region annotated. The transcript is spliced from 22 exons. The record is from RefSeq and is a predicted model, not a curated record. NCBI's taxonomy places the organism in Eukaryota, Metazoa, Chordata, Actinopteri, Syngnathiformes, Syngnathidae.